Molecule: ribosomal RNA, 466 nt
Filed under: uncultured bacterium
Lineage: Bacteria
Description: partial 16S ribosomal RNA
Rfam family: Bacterial small subunit ribosomal RNA
Source: RNAcentral
GAUGAACGCUGGCGGCGUGCUUAACACAUGCAAGUCGAACGAUGAAGCCCAGCUUGCUGGGUGGAUUAGUGGCGAACGGGUGAGUAACACGUGAGUAACCUGCCCUUAACUCUGGGAUAAGCCUGGGAAACUGGGUCUAAUACCGUAUAGGAGCGUCCACCGCAUGGUGGGUGUUGGAAAGAUUUAUCGGUUUUGGAUGGACUCGCGGCCUAUCAGCUUGUUGGUGAGGUAAUGGCUCACCAAGGCGACGACGGGUAGCCGGCCUGAGAGGGUGACCGGCCACACUGGGACUGAGACACGGCCAAGACUCCUACGGGAGGAAGCAGUGGGGAAUAUUGCACAAUGGGCGCAAGCCUGAUGCAGCGACGCCGCGUGAGGGAUGACGGCCUUCGGGUUGUAAACCUCUUUCAGUAGGGAAGAAGCGAAAGUGACGGUACCUGCAGAAGAAGCACCGGCUAACUACGUG